Molecule: transfer-messenger RNA, 373 nt
Filed under: Aeromicrobium piscarium
Lineage: Bacteria; Bacillati; Actinomycetota; Actinomycetes; Propionibacteriales; Nocardioidaceae
Also listed under: 1 other name
Description: Standard tmRNA
Rfam family: transfer-messenger RNA
About the family: Bacterial tmRNA, also known as 10Sa RNA or SsrA, is named for its dual tRNA and mRNA-like properties. Its role is to liberate the mRNA from a stalled ribosome.
Source: RNAcentral
GGGGCUGAUCGGUUUCGACUGUGGUCGUUCGACCUAGGAGAAGCGGGUAGAGAAGGCAACGUCAUCUCUUAAACGAUCGUUGCAAACCAAUAAGUGCCGAUUCCAAGCGCACUGACUUCGCCCUCGCUGCCUGACAGCGAUUGGUGAAGGGCAGACCCGGGAGCGUCCCCGUUCCGGAUCGUCUGUCUCAUCAAGGGGACUUGCUGAUCACUGCCUGCCGUAGGCGGUGAUCGGGACUCAAGUACGGCUGAGCCCGUCGGUGACGUGUUUGUCCGAGCACCGGGGCUGAGAAAACGACUACCGACAAACUGCACCCGGAGAAGACCUAGCUCAGCGCCAGAGGACCCGGGUUCGAUUCCCGGCAGCUCCACGA